UUUAGCCUGGGGCCCUGUGGAACCGGGGUCUGCAGGCCAGUCUGUGAUGAUGAUGAUGGAGCAGGACUGGCUGCUGCCACCAAGGGGACGGGUGGAGUUACUACUGGGCCAAUGACUGCGGUCCCUGUAGACUCCUGAGACCACUGCGGUGCUGUCCCCUGUCGCACCGCACUGGCGUAGGUUGUUUGAGCAGGGGCAAGAUCGUGAAUAUGCUGGAUGAUCUCCUUUGCAGUUUGUACAGUGUGGAGCAGCAUUACAGUUUUCCGACUGAUGGUCAUUGGCAC
RNAcentral lists this long non-coding RNA (284 nucleotides) under Dermacentor andersoni. RNAcentral's name for it is "uncharacterized LOC126524689". The record is from RNAcentral. Lineage: Eukaryota; Metazoa; Arthropoda; Arachnida; Ixodida; Ixodidae.